AUGUUUAGUAUUUUCCCAAUCCUAUGCAAUUCAGUUCAUUCCAGUGCAUUCCAACGCCCGUUUACAUUAUUCCAGUAGCAAUCCAGGGCU
Molecule: long non-coding RNA, 90 nt
Organism: Aricia agestis (brown argus)
Lineage: Eukaryota; Metazoa; Arthropoda; Insecta; Lepidoptera; Lycaenidae
Exons: 3
Source: RefSeq, a predicted model, not a curated record